This 625-nucleotide ribosomal RNA is filed under the name Pseudomonas sp. E8(2012). RNAcentral's name for it is "bacterial SSU rRNA". It matches the Rfam family "Bacterial small subunit ribosomal RNA", at positions 52 to 669 of the family's 1533-position model. The record is from RNAcentral. Lineage: Bacteria; Pseudomonadati; Pseudomonadota; Gammaproteobacteria; Pseudomonadales; Pseudomonadaceae.
CACAUGCAAGUCGAGCGGAUGAGAGGAGCUUGCUCCUUCGAUUCAGCGGCGGACGGGUGAGUAAUGCCUAGGAAUCUGCCUGGUAGUGGGGGACAACGUUUCGAAAGGAACGCUAAUACCGCAUACGUCCUACGGGAGAAAGCAGGGGACCUUCGGGCCUUGCGCUAUCAGAUGAGCCUAGGUCGGAUUAGCUAGUUGGUGAGGUAAUGGCUCACCAAGGCGACGAUCCGUAACUGGUCUGAGAGGAUGAUCAGUCACACUGGAACUGAGACACGGUCCAGACUCCUACGGGAGGCAGCAGUGGGGAAUAUUGGACAAUGGGCGAAAGCCUGAUCCAGCCAUGCCGCGUGUGUGAAGAAGGUCUUCGGAUUGUAAAGCACUUUAAGUUGGGAGGAAGGGCAUUUACCUAAUACGUAAGUGUUUUGACGUUACCGACAGAAUAAGCACCGGCUAACUCUGUGCCAGCAGCCGCGGUAAUACAGAGGGUGCAAGCGUUAAUCGGAAUUACUGGGCGUAAAGCGCGCGUAGGUGGUUCGUUAAGUUGGAUGUGAAAUCCCCGGGCUCAACCCUGGGAACUGCAUCCAAAACCUGGCGAGCUAGAGUAGGGUAGAGGGUGGUGAUUGCC